RNAcentral lists this ribosomal RNA (2468 nucleotides) under human gut metagenome. Its description in RNAcentral is "bacterial LSU rRNA". It matches the Rfam family "Bacterial large subunit ribosomal RNA", at positions 14 to 2505 of the family's 2925-position model. The record is from RNAcentral.
AGAGCACAGGGUGAAUGCCAAGGCACCAGACGCCGAAGAAGGACGCGAUCAGCUGCGAUAAGCCAUGGUGAGCCGCAAAUAGGCUACGACCCAUGGAUUUCCGAAUGAGGAAACUCAGCGCGGGUAAUGCCGCGUUACCGCAUGAUGAAUCCAUAGUCAUGCGGGGGUAACCCGGGGAACUGAAACAUCUAAGUACCCGGAGGAAGAGAAAUCAACCGAGAUUCCCUGAGUAGCGGCGAGCGAAAGGGGAAGAGGCCAAACCGAUGGACUACGGUCGAUCGGGGUUGUGGACUGGCGUAAGCAACGCGUAGGAUAGCAGAAUCCGUUGGGAAGCGGAAUCAAAGAGGGUAAGAAUCCCGUACGCGAAAUCCGAAACGAGCGGCCAGGAUCCAGAGUACCACAGGACACGAGGAAUCCGGUGGGAAGCCGGGGGGACCACCCUCCAAGCCUAAAUACGUACUGGUGACCGAUAGCGCAUAGUACCGUGAGGGAAAGGUGAAAAGAACCCCGGGAGGGGAGUGAAAGAGAACCUGAAACCCUGUGUUUACAAGCAGUGAAAGCGGAAUUAAGCCGCGAUCAUGUACUUUUUGUAGAACGGACCGGCGAGUUACGUUAUGCAGCGAGGUUAAGAACUGAGAGGUUUGGAGCCGAAGCGAAAGCGAGUCUGAAGAGGGCGAUAGUUGCAUGACGUAGACCCGAAACCGGGUGACCUAUCCAUGGCCAGGUUGAAGUGGAGGUAAAGCUCCAUGGAGGACCGAACCAGACGUCUGUUGAAAAAGGCGGGGAUGAGCUGUGGAUAGGGGAGAAAUUCCAAUCGAACCCGGAGAUAGCUGGUUCUCCUCGAAAUAGCUUUAGGGCUAGCCUUGAGGGUCAUUAGCGCAGGUAGAGCACUGAAUGGGCGCGGGGGCCACAAAGCCUACCAACCCCUAUCAAACUACGAAUGGCGAAUAAUGUAGACCUCAGGAGUCAGUCCGCGAGAGAUAAGUUCCGCGGGCAAAAGGGGAACACCCCAGAUCAACCGCUAAGGUCCCAAAGUGCACGUUAAGUGGAGAAGGAUGUGGAAUUGCACAGACAACCAGGAUGUUGGCUCAGAAGCAGCCAUUCAUUUAAAGAGUGCGUAAUAGCUCACUGGUCGAGUGGUUGUGCGCCGAAGAUGUCCGGGGCUAAAACGUGACACCGAAGCGAUGGAUGCGUAGCGAUACGCGUGGUAGAGGAGCAUUGUGUGCUGGGAGAAGCCAGAUCGAGAGGACUGGUGGACGGCACAGAAGAGAGAAUGCCGGUAUGAGUAGCGAGAGGCAUGCGAGAAACAUGCCCGUCGAAAGCCCAAGGUUUCCUGGGGAAGGUUCAUCCACCCAGGGUAAGUCGGGGCCUAAGCCGAGGACGGAAGUCGUAGGCGAUGGACAGCAGGUGGAAAUUCCUGCACCACCGAGGAAUGAAGCAGUGACGCAGAAGGAUAACUCGAGCAGGGUGAUGGUCAACUCUGUGCAAGCAACGAGGUUGGGGUAUAGUGAAGUACGUACUCCUGUAAGCUGAGUUGUGACGCGGACCGAAACGAAAGUAGGGAAGCGAGUGAGUUCACGCUGACAAGAAAAGCUGCUAGUAUAUCCGAAGGUGCCCGUACCGGAAACCGACGCAGGUGGGCGAGGAGAGAAUCCUGAGACGAACGGGAGAACCCUUGUUAAGGAACUCGGCAAAAUGACCCCGUAACUUCGGGAUAAGGGGUGCCUACGAAAGUAGGUCGCAGAGAAUAGGCUCAAGCGACUGUUUAGCAAAAACACAGGUAUCUGCGAAAGCGAGAGCUGACGUAUAGGUGCUGACACCUGCCCGGUGCUGGAAGGUUAAGGGGACAUGUUAGCGAAAGCGAAGCAUCGAACCGAAGCCCCAGUAAACGGCGGCCGUAACUAUAACGGUCCUAAGGUAGCGAAAUUCCUUGUCGGGUAAGUUCCGACCCGCACGAAUGGUGUAACGACUUGAGCGCUGUCUCAACAGGGGGCCCGGUGAAAUUGAAGUAUGGGUGAAGAUGCCCAUUACCCGCGACUGGACGGAAAGACCCCGUAGAGCUUUACUGUAGCCUGAUAUUGGAUUUCGGUAACGGAUGUACAGGAUAGGUGGGAGGCAAGGAAACCAGGACGUCAGUCUUGGCGGAGCCGGCGGUGGGAUACCACUCUUUUGUUACUGAAACUCUAACAUGGACCCGUGAAACCGGGUAAUGGACAGUGUCAGGUGGACAGUUUGACUGGGGCGGUCGCCUCCGAAAGAGUAACGGAGGCGCCCAAAGGUACCCUCAGAAUGGAUGGAAACCAUUCGUAGAGUGCAAAGGCAGAAGGGUGCCUGACUGCGAGAGUGACAAUUCGAGCAGAGACGAAAGUCGGGCUUAAUGAUCCGGCGGUAUUGAGUGGAAAAGCCGUCGCUUAACGGAUAAAAGCUACCUCGGGGAUAACAGGCUGAUCUCCCCCAAGAGUCCACAU